This 255-nucleotide ribosomal RNA is filed under the name uncultured bacterium. RNAcentral's name for it is "partial 16S ribosomal RNA". It matches the Rfam family "Bacterial small subunit ribosomal RNA", at positions 524 to 776 of the family's 1533-position model. The record is from RNAcentral.
UACGUAGGUGGCAAGCGUUACUCGGAAUCACUAGGCGUAAAGCGCAGGUAGGAGGUUUGGUAAGUCUGUUGUGAAAGCUCCCGGCUUAACUGGGAGAGGUCAACGGAAACUGCUGAGCUAGAGUGCGGUAGAGGUAGCUGGAAUUCCCGGUGUAGCGGUGAAAUGCGUAGAUAUCGGGAGGAAUACCUAUGGCGAAAAGCAGGCUACUGGACCGUCACUGACUCUGAUCUGCGAAAGCUAGGGGGAGCAAACAGG